UUCCAGGAAACAGCUCACCUGUGGCAAACACUUUUCUGACAGACAUGGAGUGGAGAGUCUUUGUCUUCAGCAGUUUGGAUGUUAACUAUGAAGGCAGAAAGUGUGUGUGACUGAUGUGGAUGUGACUUCAGCAGCAUGAAUCAGUGUGAGGACAGAAAGAAGGGAGUCCCUCCUGCUCAAAGCUCUCUAUGUUGGGAACAUGACAGCCAGACCAAAGCUCAGAGAAGCCCAGAGCUACAAAGACCAGACUUUGCUAGAUUUUGGCCUUUUCGCUCCAUUAAUUUUAAAGGACUACCUCCUGCUGCAAAGAGAGUGGACCAGGAGGAUCCCAGUGGUCAGUCUGCCCAGCAGCAUCAAACACACAGGGUGAUCAUAUAUGCGGUAUGCAACAGAUGAGUCCAGAUUACCCAGAAUGCUUAGAGAGUCAGAGUGAUGAGGAGGAGGUGUUGGAUGGUGAGGAAGAAGAGCAGAGGAGGAGGAGCAGCAGAGAAGAAUUUCUGAAGAUCACUUUGCAGUCUCUGAGGAGAAUGAAGCAGGAGGAGCUGGCUGACCGUCUGCAGAGCAAAACUCCUACUCCAGUUGGUCAACGUGAACUCAAGUCUAACCUGAAGAAGAAGUUCCAGUGUGUGUUUGAGGGGAUUGCUAAAGCAGGAAACCCAACCCUUCUGAAUCAGAU
Molecule: long non-coding RNA, 676 nt
Organism: Thunnus maccoyii (southern bluefin tuna)
Lineage: Eukaryota; Metazoa; Chordata; Actinopteri; Scombriformes; Scombridae
Exons: 6
Source: RefSeq, a predicted model, not a curated record